GACGAACGCUGGCGGCGUGCCUAAUACAUGCAAGUUGAGCGCUGAAGGUUGGUACUUGUACCAACUGGAUGAGCAGCGAACGGGUGAGUAACGCGUGGGGAAUCUGCCUUUGAGCGGGGGACAACAUUUGGAAACGAAUGAUAAUACCGCAUAAAAACUUUAAACACAAGUUUUAAGUUUGAAAGAUGCAAUUGCAUCACUCAAAGAUGAUCCCGCGUUGUAUUAGCUAGUUGGUGAGGUAAAGGCUCACCAAGGCGAUGAUACAUAGCCGACCUGAGAGGGUGAUCGGCCACAUUGGGACUGAGACACGGCCCAAACUCCUACGGGAGGCAGCAGUAGGGAAUCUUCGGCAAUGGACGAAAGUCUGACCGAGCAACGCCGCGUGAGUGAAGAAGGUUUUCGGAUCGUAAAACUCUGUUGGUAGAGAAGAACGUUGGUGAGAGUGGAAAGCUCAUCAAGUGACGGUAACUACCCAGAAGGGGACGGCUAACUACGUG
RNAcentral lists this ribosomal RNA (497 nucleotides) under uncultured bacterium. Its description in RNAcentral is "partial 16S ribosomal RNA". It matches the Rfam family "Bacterial small subunit ribosomal RNA", at positions 28 to 507 of the family's 1533-position model. The record is from RNAcentral.